UUAAAUUGAGAGUUUGAUCCUGGCUCAGGAUGAACGCUGGCGGCGUGCCUAAUACAUGCAAGUCGAACGGAACUUCUUUAUCACCGAGUGCUUGCACUCACCGAUAAAGAGUUGAGUGGCGAACGGGUGAGUAACACGUGGGCAACCUGCCCAAAAGAGGGGGAUAACACUUGGAAACAGGUGCUAAUACCGCAUAACCAUAGUUACCGCAUGGUAACUAUGUAAAAGGUGGCUAUGCUACCACUUUUGGAUGGGCCCGCGGCGCAUUAGCUAGUUGGUGAGGUAAAGGCUUACCAAGGCAAUGAUGCGUAGCCGAACUGAGAGGUUGAUCGGCCACAUUGGGACUGAGACACGGCCCAAACUCCUACGGGAGGCAGCAGUAGGGAAUCUUCCACAAUGGGCGAAAGCCUGAUGGAGCAACGCCGCGUGGGUGAAGAAGGUCUUCGGAUCGUAAAACCCUGUUGUUAGAGAAGAAAGUGCGUGAGAGUAACUGUUCACGUUUCGACGGUAUCUAACCAGAAAGCCACGGCUAACUACGUGCCAGCAGCCGCGGUAAUACGUAGGUGGCAAGCGUUAUCCGGAUUUAUUGGGCGU
This 594-nucleotide ribosomal RNA is filed under the name Ligilactobacillus animalis. RNAcentral's name for it is "bacterial SSU rRNA". It matches the Rfam family "Bacterial small subunit ribosomal RNA", at positions 1 to 561 of the family's 1533-position model. Lineage: Bacteria; Bacillati; Bacillota; Bacilli; Lactobacillales; Lactobacillaceae. The record is from RNAcentral.